CCCACGAAAAAAGAUCAACUCAGACAGGCAGCUGCACUCACAGCAGGAGCGCUGAAUUUCAAGCAUUUAAUUGAAAGACAACUUCUCCAGCCUGAUGUCAGCGGAAAAACUCCCUUGGACAUGUCGCAAUACCAGCGCAUCUUCAGUGUUUAUCGCACGCCUUCCAUAGCCUGCGAUAAAAUGGAGUUCAAUACGC
Long non-coding RNA from Ixodes scapularis (black-legged tick), 196 nucleotides. RefSeq lists it as uncharacterized. The transcript has 3 exons. The record is from RefSeq and is a predicted model, not a curated record. Lineage: Eukaryota; Metazoa; Arthropoda; Arachnida; Ixodida; Ixodidae.